AGUACCACGCCGGAUGAACGGAAAUCAUUGAUGUUGAUUAAUAUGUGGCAAUGAAGUCUCUGGUGCUA
RNAcentral lists this transfer RNA (68 nucleotides) under Mancinella alouina. RNAcentral's name for it is "tRNA-Ile". The record is from RNAcentral. Lineage: Eukaryota; Metazoa; Mollusca; Gastropoda; Neogastropoda; Muricidae.